Molecule: ribosomal RNA, 468 nt
Filed under: uncultured bacterium
Lineage: Bacteria
Description: partial 16S ribosomal RNA
Rfam family: Bacterial small subunit ribosomal RNA
Source: RNAcentral
GACGAACGCUGGCGGCGUGCUUAACACAUGCAAGUCGAACGGAAAGGCCCUGCUUUUGUGGGGUGCUCGAGUGGCGAACGGGUGAGAAACACGUGAGUAACCUGCCCUUGACUUUGGGAUAACUUCAGGAAACUGGGGCUAAUACCGGAUAGGAGCUCCUGCUGCAUGGUGGGGGUUGGAAAGUUUCGGCGGUUGGGGAUGGACUCGCGGCUUAUCAGCUUGUUGGCGGGGUAGUGGCUUACCAAGGCUUUGACGGGUAGCCGGCCUGAGAGGGUGACCGGCCACAUUGGGACUGAGAUACGGCCCAGACUCCUACGGGAGGCAGCAGUGGGGAAUAUUGCACAAUGGGCGGAAGCCUGAUGCAGCAACGCCGCGUGCGGGAUGACGGCCUUCGGGUUGUAAACCGCUUUCGCCUGUGACGAAGCGUGAGUGACGGUAAUGGGUAAAGAAGCACCGGCUAACUACGUG